GAAACUUGAAGGGAAUGACGGAAGGGCACACCAGGGGUGGAGCCUGUGGCUUAAUUUGAAUCAACACGGGGAAACUUACCAGGACCCAGAUGUUUUUUAUGACUGACAGGCUUCGGGUCUUUCAGGAUAUUGUUUUUGGUGGUGCAUGGCCGUUGGUGGUGCGUGGGUUGACCUGUCUAGCGUUGAUUCAGCUAACGAGCGAGAUUAUCGCCAAUUAUUUACUUUGCCGAAGUCCUUCGGUUAAAGUUCUAAUUGGGACUCCCUGCGAUUUUAGCAGGUGGAAGAGGGUAGCAAUAACAGGUCCGUGAUGCCCUUUAGAUGCUCUGGGCUGCACGCGUGCUACAAUGUUAGGAUCAAUAGGACUGCGAGCCUGAGAGGGUGCGCUACUCUUAUAAUCCCUAACGUAGUUGGGAUUGACGUUUGUAAUCAGCGUCAUGAACCAGGAAUCCCUUGUAAAUGUGUGUCAACAACGCACGUUGAAUACGUCCCUGCCCUUUGUACACACCGCCCGUCGCUCCUACCGAUUGGAUGACUCGGUGAAAUCACCGGAUGCUUACGAGCAGAAAGUGAUUAAAUCACGUUAUCUAGAGGAAGGAGAAGUCGUAACAAGGUAACGGUAGGUGAACCUGCCGUUGGAUCAGUU
Molecule: non-coding RNA, 643 nt
Filed under: Trichomonas vaginalis G3
Lineage: Eukaryota; Parabasalia; Trichomonadida; Trichomonadidae
Description: Eukaryotic small subunit ribosomal RNA
Rfam family: Eukaryotic small subunit ribosomal RNA
Source: Rfam by way of RNAcentral